AGCCAUUCUCACACGGCUUCUCAGCCGGGGUCUCCCACCCCGGCCCUGGCCCUGGGCCUGCCCUCACUGCCUCCUCCCCAUCCCCUACCCCUAGAGGCCUCCUGCCCUGGUCACCUACGCGUCACCUAAGCCCCGAGGCCAGGCGGCUUCUUGUCUACUAAAGACUUCCGGAGAGAGGCAUUCACCCUGUGGUCAGAGCUGGGGUUUCCAUGGAGGAGCACCACAGCCAUAAAGAAAGGCUGGUGAGCCCCAGAGCGGAGGACCCUGCCGAGCUGUUUCCAGACUCCUGAUCCACAGAAACCGUGAGAGGAUAACAUUGUUCUGCUUGAAGCCACUACACCUGCCGUCACUUGUCUCGCAUCAUUAGGGAACCAACGUGCUCUGGAAGACAGCAACUCUCAGGGUCCAUUCCGCUGACACCAGCGCCUCAGAUGACACAGGACGUGGCAUGGUGGCUAUUGACUCAUCAAGGGAACAGCAAUGAACAGGGUGCCUGCUCGCUCAUCACACAGGUUGGAUAAGAUCGACAGGAAAAACCCCUCCAACAGCACAGCAGAGCAGCACAGAGCCCUGCCUCUCUCCAGCUGGGGAAGUCGGGAGCUGAAGUGGAAAGCUGGUUGAAGAACAAUGUGAAAAAAAUGAGGCCUGACUCAAUUCCUAAAAGCGGCUGCCUGACCUUAUGCAAGCCACAGCUUCUAUUUACAAACCCAGGAAACUGGACAAAAUACUGAAAGGAUCCCCUAAGAUAAUGAGAGUUAACAACAGAUGCAAAGCAAGGUUCUGUGGAAAUGUAAGGUCGUGUUACCACGCAGGGCUGAAAAGCUUUCCUGACUACUUUCUGAUUUGCGUAUACUAAGGACUAUUUCAAGAGGGUGACAUUUUAUGAAUUAAAGGCAUGCCACUUCCAUUCACAGUGCUGUUCUGAGAGAUUCGAUUCUGUCCUUGACAAUCUAAGAAAAUCUUAACUCUGCAUUAUGUAAAUACUAAGGACACGGGGUGUUUCGAAUGAGACCAACCUCGUAUCUCUCUCAACUCCCUCUCCUCCCGGGGCCACCCUUUUCUUUAAUUGAAAGCACAAUAAACUUAAUCAGCUGCUCCUAACGAUGCCUGCCCCAGCCUGGGAGAUUCAGCAAGGCUUGGGGCGUGCAUGACAAAGAAACACACACUCCAGAAUCUCACUUUUGUUAUUCCCCAGCCAUCUUUUGUUAUGUGGCAUGGGAAAAAUCUUAAUGAGCCUGCCCUGCUGCUGCAGAAAUUCUUGUCAGAUGAAAAGCAGCCCCUCCUUCCACCUGGCAAGGGCUUACAGAGAACACAGCAGCCCACAUCUACUCACGUUUCCUGAAACAAUCCCCUAUUUAACUUCCUAGGCAACAGAAAAUCUGAAGAAAAUGAGAUACCACAGAAGAUGAAUUUGAUGUAACAAAAAGGUGUUUUAAAAAGAUAAGUAGAGAGGCCAUCCUACAAAAUUUCAUGGCUGACAAUGGUAAAAAAGAUGCAGAAAAGGACCAUCUGGCCUGAAAAAUUCAGCCGGGGUCGGGGGAGGGGGUCCCGCAGCAGAGGCCAGGCCUUCAAGGAUGGGGAUCCUCUUCUGUCUUCCUUUUCUCAAAAUGUUUGUUGGAUGAUGGACUUAAUUUUAAAACCCCAAGUCACUGCGGUUUAGCCAGCUAUGGAUGAUGAAAGCACUACAAUCAUUGAAACUGACAAGGAGGCAGUUUCCUUCAAAAAUACGAAAACUGUACGCAGAGUACAUGGAGAAAAAUGUGACACAAGCAUUUGGACACACUACUAAACAACAACAUGGGACAAUAUAGACAACAAUUGGAAAUACACUUUGAGGAGGUAAAAAGUUCAGUAUUCACUGGCUUCCUUUUGGAGGUUGUUAAAUUGCUGAAAUUCAAAUAAAAGUCAUUGAGCCAUUGUGUCUGUCAGCUGUGCCUCUAUCUCACCCCCGGGUGGGUGGAGGUCCCCCUGGCUUU
RNAcentral lists this long non-coding RNA (1976 nucleotides) under Homo sapiens (human). RNAcentral's name for it is "long non-coding RNA NONHSAT208463.1". Lineage: Eukaryota; Metazoa; Chordata; Mammalia; Primates; Hominidae. The record is from RNAcentral.